UGGCCACGUCACAUUGAAAUAUCGGUUCCCGUACGAUCACCGAAGUUAAGCAAUGUUGGACCUGGUCAGCAUUUAGACGAGUGACCACUUGGGAAUACCAGGUGUUGUAA
Molecule: non-coding RNA, 110 nt
Organism: Acanthosepion pharaonis
Lineage: Eukaryota; Metazoa; Mollusca; Cephalopoda; Sepiida; Sepiidae
Source: the annotation of a GenBank genome assembly